This 1062-nucleotide long non-coding RNA is filed under the name Mytilus galloprovincialis (Mediterranean mussel). The record is from RNAcentral. Lineage: Eukaryota; Metazoa; Mollusca; Bivalvia; Mytilida; Mytilidae.
CUUAAUCUCACAAAUCAAGAAUCUAUUUGUUAAUUUGCUUUACAUCUUCAAAUUCAAAUGUCCCCAUAUUUCAACCAUACCAAACAUGUUCUUUUAGUCAAAUAUUUUUAACUGUACAUUUAUAUCUUGUUAGUAAAUAAAUAUUUGUUCUCAACUGCUGUUUCUUUAUUUACUUUUUAUUCAAACACCAACAUACAUGUACUAAAAUAAUCACUACAAAAUGCAUGAAAGAUAACAUACAAAGUAAAAAAUGCUUCAAAUCAGAACACACAUGCCCUCUAUUAUUCAACUUACACAGAAACAAAGUAUAAAUCUUGCUAAAAUAUUGAUAAAUUAAAUCAUCAUUCAUUCCAUGUUCAUAAACUCACUUGUACAACUUGGUUUUCUGUUAUCUGAGGAAGGGAAACAACCCUUAUAUUUGAUUAUAUCUGACCGAUAGAACUAAUUUUAUUCUCAAUUGUUUAUGUUUACUGUUUUACCUCUUUCUGUCCUUCAGUCCGUCUGUCCCAUGAAUAUUUUUCGUAGCAUUUUUCUCGCGAACUACACUACGAUUCCAAACUCCUGUAUUAUUUUACACAUGAUAACCAAAUUGAAAAUUUUGUCACAUUUUUCUGAAGAACUACAAUACAAGGAUUUCUGGAAUUUGAUUUCGAAGUUUAUAUAAGUAUUCAUAGCUGACUAUAUGCUGUAUGGGCUUUGCUCAUUGUUGAAGACCGUACGGUGACCUAUAAUUGUUAAUGUUUGUGUCAUUUUGGUCUUUUGUGGAUACUUGUCUCAUUGGCAAUCAUACCACAUCUUCUUUUUUAAAAUACUGUUAUGCGUUUUCACAUUCAUCACUCAACAACUUCCUGUUUACCGAACUCUUACAUAGUUUACACUUAAAAUUAUCCACUUGCAGUGGGGGCAUCAUCAAUGAGCAGCAGCUCACAGUUUCACUUGUUCAUCUUUUAAAUAUUCUUUUCUGUGAUUGCUUCGGAAAAUCAAGAAAUAUAUAUAAACAUUUUUCCACUGACAAAUUAUUUGCUUUGAUUUAUAAUUCACAAUUAUACAAUACUACAUGUA